GAUGAAGAACGCAGCGAAAUGCGAUACGUAAUGUGAAUUGCAGAAUUCAGUGAAUCAUCGAAUCUUUGAACGCAUAUUGCGCUCUCUGGUAUUCCGGAGAGCAUGCUUGUUUGAGUAUCAGUAAACACCUCAACUUCCAUAUCUUUUUUGAAAUGGGAGUUGGACUUGAGUGAUCCCAACGCUUUUCCUCACCGAAAAGUGGCGGGUUACUUGAAAUGCAGGUGCAGCUGGACUUUUCUCUGAGCUAUAAGCAUAUCUAUUUAGUCUGCCUAAAAAACAGAUUAUUACCUUUGCUGCAGCUAACAUAAAGGAGAUUAGUUCUUGUGCUGACUGAUGCAGGAUUCAAAAAGACGGCUUCGGCCGAUUUUGUAAACUCGAUCUCAAAUCAAGUAAGACUACCCGCUGAACUUAAGCAUAUCAAUAAGCGGAGGA
This 432-nucleotide unclassified non-coding RNA is filed under the name soil metagenome. Its description in RNAcentral is "partial contains 5.8S ribosomal RNA, internal transcribed spacer 2, and large subunit ribosomal RNA". The stretch from base 1 to 120 matches the Rfam family "5.8S ribosomal RNA", at positions 35 to 154 of the family's 154-position model. The record is from RNAcentral.